This 497-nucleotide ribosomal RNA is filed under the name uncultured bacterium. Its description in RNAcentral is "partial 16S ribosomal RNA". It matches the Rfam family "Bacterial small subunit ribosomal RNA", at positions 28 to 507 of the family's 1533-position model. The record is from RNAcentral.
GAUGAACGCUGGCGGCGUGCCUAAUACAUGCAAGUCGAGCGAACAGACGAGGAGCUUGCUCCUCUGACGUUAGCGGCGGACGGGUGAGUAACACGUGGAUAACCUACCUAUAAGACUGGGAUCACUUCGGGACACCGGAGCUAAUACCGGAUAAUAUAUUGAUCCGCAUGGUUCAAUAGUGAAAGACGGUUUUGCUGUCACUUAUAGCUGGAUACGGGCUGCAUUAGCUAGUUGGUAAGGUCACGGCUUACCAAGGCGACGAUGCGUAGCCGACCUGAGAGGGUGAUCGGCCACACUGGAACUGAGACACGGACCAGAGUCCUACGGGAGGCAGCAGUAGGGAAUCUUCCGCAAUGGGCGAAAGCCUGACGGAGCAGCGCCGCGUGAGUGAUGAAGGUCUUCGGAUCGGAAAACUCUGUUAUUAGGGAAGAACAAAUGUGUAAGUAACUGUGCACGUCUUGACGGUACCGAAUCAGAAAGCCACGGCUAACUACGUG